RNAcentral lists this ribosomal RNA (434 nucleotides) under uncultured Bacteroidota bacterium. RNAcentral describes it as "bacterial SSU rRNA". It matches the Rfam family "Bacterial small subunit ribosomal RNA", at positions 60 to 487 of the family's 1533-position model. The record is from RNAcentral. Lineage: Bacteria; Pseudomonadati; Bacteroidota.
AGUCGAGGGGUAACAUAGAAAAGCUUGCUUUUCUGAUGACGACCGGCGCACGGGUGCGUAACGCGUAUACAAUCUGCCUUAUACUGGGGUAUAGCCUUUAGAAAUGAAGAUUAAUCCCCCAUAGUCUCUUUUAAUGGCAUCAUUACAAGAGUAAAGGUUACGGUAUAAGAUGAGUAUGCGUUCUAUUAGUUUGUUGGUGAGGUAACGGCUCACCAAGACUGCGAUAGAUAGGGGCCCUGAGAGGGGGAUCCCCCACACUGGUACUGAGACACGGACCAGACUCCUACGGGAGGCAGCAGUGAGGAAUAUUGGACAAUGGAGGCAACUCUGAUCCAGCCAUGCCGCGUGCAGGAAGACUGCCCUAUGGGUUGUAAACUGCUUUUAUACAGGAAGAAACCUUGGUACGUGUACCAAGCUGACGGUACUGUAAGAAU